Zophobas morio is the source of this 288-nucleotide long non-coding RNA. RefSeq lists it as uncharacterized. Lineage: Eukaryota; Metazoa; Arthropoda; Insecta; Coleoptera; Tenebrionidae. The record is from RefSeq and is a predicted model, not a curated record. The transcript has 3 exons.
UUCUUGAAGUUUAACGUAACACAAUGUCUCGCUAUGAAAGUUUAAGUGAGAAAUUAAAAAUUUUGCAAAAACAUGUCGAAGGCUUGAAAGAGAAAAUAUCCACCGCCUCGGAUUUAUCUGAUACGGUUUUUCAGCUGUCUGUCUCGCACACUUCUCUUUUCAUGGCCGCCAAGGAAAUAAGUUGUAAGGAAGAGAACAGCACAGAAAAAAUAGAAAGUUUUUAGAGGGGAUAGAAAAUGCGUUGUUUAAAAAAUAUAUAAAUGAUAAAAUUUCUUGCUCAUCUCUUUU